ACCCCCUCCUCUGCCACCCCAGUUUUUCUAUUUCUCCUCCAUCCACGCGCCGCCGUAGGCAUGGACGCAAAAUGCACCCAACCACCCUCCUCCGCCCUGAAACUCCGACGAACCACCAGCGCCGAUGGUAGUGGAACCGGAACCAUCAUACUCGGCAAGUAUCAACUUGGCCGUCUUUUAGGCCGUGGUAGCUUCGCUAAAGUCUACCACGGCCGUUGUUUAAACAAUAAUAGUAACAUCGCCAUUAAAGUUAUUGACAAAACCUCCAUUUCGGAUCCUUCAAUGGAGCCUCGGAUCAUCCGCGAAGUCUCCGUUAUGACACGUGUCAAUGAUCAUCCCAACAUCAUCCAACUCGACGAAGUUUUGGCUACAAAAACCAAAAUCUACUUAAUCAUGGAGAUCGCCACAGGCGGCGAUCUCUAUGCUAAGCUGAACCGUCGCGGUCGGUUCUCUGACUCGACCGCGCGGUUUUAUUUUCAUCAGUUGGUCUCAGCCCUCCACUUUUGUCAUCAAAAUGGCGUGACUCACCGCGACAUCAAGCUU
RNAcentral lists this long non-coding RNA (543 nucleotides) under Nicotiana tabacum (common tobacco). RNAcentral's name for it is "long non-coding RNA (NTAB_LNC008856)". Lineage: Eukaryota; Viridiplantae; Streptophyta; Magnoliopsida; Solanales; Solanaceae. The record is from RNAcentral.